This 274-nucleotide ribosomal RNA is filed under the name Sargassum muticum. Its description in RNAcentral is "partial large subunit ribosomal RNA". The record is from RNAcentral. Lineage: Eukaryota; Phaeophyceae; Fucales; Sargassaceae.
AUGAGAAUACUUGCAUGAGUAGCACGAAACAACGAUAAGCGUUGUGGCCGUAAGUCUAAGGUUUCCGAUCUAAAGUAAAACUUGGUCGGCAGAAGUGUGUACUUCUAGAAAAAACGGUCCCUAAGCGGUCAAGCCAAAGCUUGUAGCGAUGGGCAAGAUUAUGCUGUGAUAAGUUACUGACGAAAAAUUCACUUUAUUUUUAAUAUAUUUAAAGGUAAAUUAUUUUUUCCAAGAAAAAGGCUCUUUUUUAAACCGUACCUUAAACCGCCACAGA